RNAcentral lists this ribosomal RNA (372 nucleotides) under uncultured organism. RNAcentral describes it as "partial 16S ribosomal RNA". It matches the Rfam family "Bacterial small subunit ribosomal RNA", at positions 527 to 896 of the family's 1533-position model. The record is from RNAcentral.
GUAGGUGGCAAGCGUUGUCCGGAAUCAUUGGGCGUAAAGAGCGCGUAGGUGGCUUGUCAGGUCUGAUGUGAAAUCCUGGGGCUCAACUCCAGAACUGCAUCGGAAACCGGCUUGCUAGAGUCUGGGAGAGGAGAGUGGAAUUCCUGGUGUAGCGGUGAAAUGCGUAGAUAUCAGGAGGAACACCGGUAGCGAAGGCGGCUCUCUGGAACAGUACUGACGCUGAGGCGCGAAAGCUAGGGGAGCGAACAGGAUUAGAUACCCUGGUAGUCCCUAGCCGUAAACGAUGGACACUAGGUGUCGGGGGUGUCGACUCCCUCGGUGCCGAAGCUAACGCAUUAAGUGUCCCCGCCUGGGAGUACGGCCGCAAGGCUA